This 211-nucleotide ribosomal RNA is filed under the name uncultured bacterium. RNAcentral describes it as "partial 16S ribosomal RNA". It matches the Rfam family "Bacterial small subunit ribosomal RNA", at positions 524 to 733 of the family's 1533-position model. The record is from RNAcentral.
CACGUAGGGUGCGAGCGUUGUCCGGAAUUAUUGGGCGUAAAGAGCUCGUAGGCGGUGUGUCGCGUCGGCCGUGAAAACCUGCAGCUUAACUGUGGGCUUGCGGUCGAUACGGGCAUCACUGGAGUUCGGCAGGGGAGACUGGAAUUCCUGGUGUAGCGGUGAAAUGCGCAGAUAUCAGGAAGAACACCCGUGGCGAAGGCGGCUCUCUGGG